GGAGGGUGCAAACGUUGCUCGGAAUUAUUGGGCGUAAAGCGCAUGUAGGCGGUCCGUCAAGUCGGAUGUGAAAGCCCCGGGCUCAACCUGGGAAGUGCAUUCGAAACUGGCGGACUUGAGUACGGGAGAGGGUUGCGGAUUUCCCGGUGUAGAGGUGAAAUUCGUAGAUAUCGGGAGGAACACCAGAGGCGAAGGCGGCAACCUGGACCGAUACUGACGCUGAGAUGCGAAAGCGUGGGGAGCAAACAGGAUUAGAUACCCUGGUAGUCCACGCCGUAAACGAUGAGUGCUAGGUGUCGCGGGUAUUGACCCCCCUGCGGUGCCACAGCUAACGCGCUAAGCACUCCGCCUGGGGAGUACGGCCGCAAGGCUA
This 373-nucleotide ribosomal RNA is filed under the name uncultured organism. RNAcentral describes it as "partial 16S ribosomal RNA". It matches the Rfam family "Bacterial small subunit ribosomal RNA", at positions 527 to 896 of the family's 1533-position model. The record is from RNAcentral.